RNAcentral lists this ribosomal RNA (468 nucleotides) under uncultured bacterium. Its description in RNAcentral is "partial 16S ribosomal RNA". It matches the Rfam family "Bacterial small subunit ribosomal RNA", at positions 28 to 507 of the family's 1533-position model. The record is from RNAcentral.
GACGAACGCUGGCGGCGUGCUUAACACAUGCAAGUCGAACGGAAAGGCCCUGCUUUUGUGGGGUGCUCGAGUGGCGAACGGGUGAGUAACACGUGAGUAACCUGCCCUUGACUUUGGGAUAACUUCAGGAAACUGGGGCUAAUACCGGAUAGGAGCUCCUGCUGCAUGGUGGGGGUUGGAAAGUUUCGGCGGUUGGGGAUGUACUCGCGGCUUAUCAGCUUGUUGGUGGGGUAGUGGCUUACCAAGGCUUUGACGGGUAGCCGGCCUGAGAGGGUGACCGGCCACAUUGGGACUGAGAUACGGCCCAGACUCCUGCGGGAGGCAGCAGUGGGGAAUAUUGCACAAUGGGCUGAAGCCUGAUGCAGCAACGCCGCGUGCGGGAUGACGGCCUUCGGGUUGUAAACCGCUUUCGCCUGUGACGAAGCGUGAGUGACGGUAAUGGGUAAAGAAGCACCGGCUAACUACGUG